This 495-nucleotide ribosomal RNA is filed under the name uncultured bacterium. RNAcentral's name for it is "bacterial SSU rRNA". It matches the Rfam family "Bacterial small subunit ribosomal RNA", at positions 785 to 1268 of the family's 1533-position model. The record is from RNAcentral.
UAGUAAAAAACCACGCUGUAAACGAUGGAUACUAGGUUUUGGGGGUCUCAACCCCUUCAGAGCCGUAGCUAACGCGUUAAGUAUCCCGCCUGGGGAGUACGAUCGCAAGGUUGAAACUCAAAGGAAUUGACGGGUUCCCGCACAAGCGGUGGAGCAUGUGCUUUAAUUCGAGGCAACGCGAAGAACCUUACCUGGGCUUGACAUGGGAGCUCUCUCUUCGGAGAGGGUUAGCUAUGUGAAAGCAUGGUUAGUCCACACAGGUGUUGCAUGGCUGUCGUCAGCUCGUGUCGUGAGAUGUUCGGUUAAGUCCGGCAACGAGCGCAACCCUCGCUGUCAGUUACCAACGGGUAAUGCCGGGGACUCUGACAGGACUGCCGGUAAUAAACCGGGAGGAAGGCGGGGAUGACGUCAAGUCAUUAUGACCCUUACGCCCAGGGGCUAGACACGUGCUACAAUGGUCGGUACAAUGAGCAGCGAGACCGCGAGGGUGGGAGC